UCUCCGUUGGUGAACCAGCGGAGGGAUCAUUACAGGACUCGCAAGACUCCUUCACCCUGUGAACUUCACUACAAGCACGUUGCUUCGGCGGGUGUCCCGGCGGGGGUUUUCCCUCGCCGGGGCGCACAGCCCGCCGGCAGCCUACUAUACUCUGUCUCUUUGCGUUGGCAUCUCGAGAAAAAACAAACAAGUUAAAACCUUCAACAACGGAUCUCUUGGUUCUG
Molecule: unclassified non-coding RNA, 224 nt
Filed under: plant metagenome
Description: partial contains small subunit ribosomal RNA, internal transcribed spacer 1, and 5.8S ribosomal RNA
Source: RNAcentral